RNAcentral lists this ribosomal RNA (801 nucleotides) under uncultured organism. RNAcentral's name for it is "SSU rRNA". It matches the Rfam family "Bacterial small subunit ribosomal RNA", at positions 28 to 812 of the family's 1533-position model. The record is from RNAcentral.
GAUGAACGCUGGCGGCGUGCCUAAUACAUGCAAGUCGAGCGAACAGACGAGGAGCUUGCUCCUCUGACGUUAGCGGCGGACGGGUGAGUAACACGUGGAUAACCUACCUAUAAGACUGGGAUGACUUCGGGAAACCGGAGCUAAUACCAGAUAACAUGUUGAACCGCAUGGUUCAACAGUGAAAGACGGUCUUGCUGUCACUUAUAGAUGGAUCCGCGCCGCAUUAGCUAGUUGGUAAGGUAACGGCUUACCAAGGCAACGAUGCGUAGCCGACCUGAGAGGGUGAUCGGCCACACUGGAACUGAGACACGGUCCAGACUCCUACGGGAGGCAGCAGUAGGGAAUCUUCCGCAAUGGGCGAAAGCCUGACGGAGCAACGCCGCGUGAGUGAUGAAGGUCUUCGGAUCGUAAAACUCUGUUAUAGGGAAGAACAAAUGUGUAAGUAACUAUGCACGUCUUGACGGUACCUAAUCAGAAAGCCACGGCUAACUACGUGCCAGCAGCCGCGGUAAUACGUAGGUGGCAAGCGUUAUCCGGAAUUAUUGGGCGUAAAGCGCGCGUAGGCGGUUUUCUAAGUCUGAUGUGAAAGCCCACGGCUCAACCGUGGAGGGUCAUUGGAAACUGGAAAACUUGAGUGCAGAAGAGGAAAGUGGAAUUCCAUGUGUAGCGGUGAAAUUCGCAGAGAUAUGGAGGAACACCAGUGGCGAAGGCGACUUUCUGGUCUGUAACUGACGCUGAUGUGCGAAAGCGUGGGGAUCAAACAGGAUUAGAUACCCUGGUAGUCCACGCCGUAAACGAUGA